UGGCCAGUGAAUAUUUGCGGCGACGGCCACUCCCUCUAAGGCAGACCACGUAGAGGAGCAUGGAGGCCAGAACGAGGCAGAGGCCACCCAGGGCCGCAAUGAUCAACACGUAGAGGAGGCGAACGUCCGGACUCAGGCUGCGGCUCCAGGAACGCCUGGGCUUCCUCGAUGAUGUGCAUACCCAGGCCCAAGACUACGGCUUUGUGGAUCCAGCCGUCAACUGAGAGAGUUUGGGAGAGGGAGCGAAGUCAAGGCCCCGCCUCCUCCCCCCAGGGGCUCGGGAGGACGCUGUCACCCCCGCGCUCGCACCUGUCCCCAGGAAGAGCACGUCGUAAGUCGGACCAGCAGGCACCGUGACGGGGGUCCCCACCAGCCGAGUGUAGCGAGCGUUGCGCUUGAGCAGGAGGGGCCGCCCUCGGGCCGGCCCCACGCCCCGGGCCAUGAGCGGGUGCAGCUUCACAAAGUCCAGGACCGGGGAGGGCAGGUCCUGGGAGGAGUUGUAGCCCCGCCUUCGAAGGCCGUCCGUGAUGCACUGUGGGACAGGAAGCUGAGGUGAGGGUCUCCCCUUCUGCUAGACACCCGGGCCUCGCACAGAUGAGGAAACUGAGGCCGAGAGAAGGAACGCCUUGCUCAGUUUACAGACAUAAAGGGGCGAGGCUAGAAUUUGAACCCGGGUCUUCGGAUGCCAAAUCCCUUCAAGCUCUUCAGCUCUACCAGACUGCCAUCUCUCUGUGGCCCAGGCAAAUGGCCCCGCUCAGGGAAGGUGGGCUCUGGAAGAGCAAAUGGACCUUUCCCUGCCCCUACCCCGGGGUCCCUCGAGAAAACGGAGGACUAAGUAGGGCAGGGUCCAUCCUCUCACCGAGCCUGGCCGCGGCUCUGGCACAGCCCCGUCGUAUCGACCCCAGCGCCGGGUGCCGUCCAGGUACUCCAUAUAGGGGCCAGAGAAGGAUGCCUGGAUGUCUGACAGAUCAUAGCGGCAGAUGGCCGAGGCCUCCAGGGUCCUCCUAGGGGGUGGGAGGAGGAGAUUCAGACUGGGCCCUCCCCUGGGCUCUCCGGCAUGUAGGACAAGAGCUUCCUGCAGACUCCGCGGCCGAUUGGCCAUUCCUGCCACUCGCUGAGCCCCGACACUCUCAGCUGACCCAGGUCAGCAUGCUUGGAAUUCUCCGCCCCCAAAAGUCCUCGCGGGCCACCCAGAAACCCAGCCCUGGGGUCAUCCUGCCUCCCAAGCCCUCUCAAAGGAAGUGCAGUAAUCUGGCCCAGUUCCUAGGCUUCCUUCAAGUUGCCUUCCCAACUACCCCUCAAUUCUGUAAUUUUAGGGUUCCCAGCCCCACUACUCCUCUAGCACUAACCAUUGAGCAGCCAGGCUAAAUGCGGCAUAGAAGCGCGUGUGGGCCCAGGCCCCCCCAUCCAGGCUGCAGACACUGCGCAGGGUCUCAUAUAGAGGGACGUGACACGCCAGCCGGGCCUUCAGGAAAGACGUCCACUUCUUCUGGAGGAUUUUCUUCCCACCCAGGUCGCCCUAGAACCAGGGGAGGGGCAGGGGGUCUGGAGAAUCCUUCCAGCCCAAAUGACCCCACAUCCUCCUCCAGUCUCAGAGGCCUAGACCUCGCUUACCUUGCACACUCGGGCGACACGGGCCACCCGGUGCCCCCUGCUCUGGGAGAAGCCGCUGCCUUCCUCUGUGGCACGUUCCGUGAAGAAAUAAUAGACUUUGUCGUCAUCUCCCACAGUGCUGGCCUCGCUUUCCCGGAUGAGGACGGAAAAUACGAACUCUGCAUCUGGAGGGGCAGAGGCCUCCUUGGACUUCCCCACCUCUAGACAUCUCUCCCAAUAAACCUAACACCCAUGA
Molecule: long non-coding RNA, 1849 nt
Organism: Monodelphis domestica (gray short-tailed opossum)
Lineage: Eukaryota; Metazoa; Chordata; Mammalia; Didelphimorphia; Didelphidae
Source: RefSeq, a predicted model, not a curated record